Molecule: ribosomal RNA, 661 nt
Filed under: uncultured bacterium
Lineage: Bacteria
Description: bacterial SSU rRNA
Rfam family: Bacterial small subunit ribosomal RNA
Source: RNAcentral
UGCAAGUCGAACGAGAAGCGCGUCUUCGGAUGCGUGGAGAGUGGCGGACGGGUGAGUAACGCGUGGGAACCUGCCCUAGGGUACGGAAUAACCUCGGGAAACCGGGGCUAAUACCGUAUACGUCCUUCGGGAGAAAGGGUUAUGUACCGCCCCUGGAUGGGCCCGCGUCGGAUUAGCUAGUUGGUGGGGUAAAGGCCUACCAAGGCGACGAUCCGUAGCUGGUUUGAGAGGAUGAUCAGCCACACUGGGACUGAGACACGGCCCAGACUCCUACGGGAGGCAGCAGUGGGGAAUAUUGGACAAUGGGCGCAAGCCUGAUCCAGCAAUGCCGCGUGAGUGAUGAAGGCCUUAGGGUUGUAAAACUCUUUCAGCAGGGAAGAUAAUGACGGUACCUGCAGAAGAAGCUCCGGCUAACUCCGUGCCAGCAGCCGCGGUAAUACGGAGGGAGCUAGCGUUGUUCGGAAUUACUGGGCGUAAAGCGCGCGUAGGCGGCCUGACAAGUUGGGGGUGAAAGCCCGAGGCUUAACCUCGGAACUGCCCUCAAAACUAUCAGGCUAGAGUCCGGGAGAGGCAGGCGGAAUUCCUAGUGUAGAGGUGAAAUUCGUAGAUAUUAGGAAGAACACCAGUGGCGAAGGCGGCCUGCUGGACCGGUACUGACGCU